CUAACUGCCUUGCCACUUCCCUUUAUAGUGAUAUUGCCCAUAGGUCUCCUUCUAUUGGAAUUGCCACUAAAACUGACCUGGGCACUUCAUCUUCAAUUUCCCAUCCUUUUAGGACCCCUGGUGGGAGGUUUCUGGGAGGAGGUGCCCCAUUCUCCAGAUUGGCAUUAGAGGCCCAGGGUGGUCUCCAGCAAGCAUUUAUUCAUGGGCACCUCCUUACCUGCCAGCCCAAAGUGGGCUGGCCCCUCCUGACACUUUAUUUAUUCUCCUUGCAGCCCCUAGCCUGCAGAGCAGUGUUCGGCAGCGCCUGACGGAGCCACAGCAUGGCCUGGGAUCUCAGAGGGAUUUGACCCAUUCCGAUUCGGAGUCCUCCCUCCACAUGAGUGACCGCCAGCGUGUGGCCCCCAAACCUCCUCAGAUGAGCCGUGCUGCAGACGAGGCUCUCAAUGCCAUGACUUCCAAUGGCAGCCACCGGCUGAUCGAGGGGGUCCACCCAGGGUCUCUGGUGGAGAAACUGCCUGACAGCCCUGCCCUGGCCAAGAAGGCAUUACUGGCGCUGAACCAUGGGCUGGACAAGGCCCACAGCCUGAUGGAGCUGAGCCCCUCAGCCCCACCUGGUGGCUCUCCACAUUUGGAUUCUUCCCGUUCUCACAGCCCCAGCUCCCCAGACCCAGACACGCCAUCUCCAGUUGGGGACAGCCGAGCCCUGCAAGCCAGCCGAAACACACGCAUUCCCCACCUGGCUGGCAAGAAGGCUGUGGCUGAGGAGGAUAAUGGCUCUAUUGGCGAGGAAACAGACUCCAGCCCAGGCCGGAAGAAGUUUCCCCUCAAAAUCUUUAAGAAGCCUCUUAAGAAGUAGGCAGGAUGGGGUGGCGGUAAAGGGACAGCUUGUCCUUCCCUGGGUGUUCUGUCUCUCCUUCCCUCCCUUCCUUCAAGAUAACUGGCCCCAAGAGUGGGGCAUGGGAAGGGCUGGUCCAGGGGUCUGGGCACUGUACAUACCUGCCCCCUCAUCCUUGGGUCCUUCAUU
This 1024-nucleotide small RNA is filed under the name Pan troglodytes (chimpanzee). RNAcentral describes it as "retained intron". Lineage: Eukaryota; Metazoa; Chordata; Mammalia; Primates; Hominidae. The record is from RNAcentral.